GGGAAGGCGGGGCCGGAGAGGAGAGAGGAAGAGGAAGGAACGCGCCUGGCGUCACUGAGGGUGUCACCCGGGACCGCGGCUCAGGAACCCCAGACGCACGGGCCUUGUGCUGUCGCUGCCGUGGCACCCCUUCUAGAAGAAGUGGGAGCCUUGGACAACUGAACGCCUAUCUCUAGCUCAAGAAAUGUCAGCUCUUUUUUUUUUUUUGAGACUGUCACCCAGUCGGGAGUACAGUGGCGCCAUCUUGGCUCUCUGUAACCUCCACCUCCUGGGUUCAAGCGAUUCUCCUGCCUCAGCCUCCUGAGUAGCUGGGGCUACAGUCGUGAAGGGGCCUCGUGACUGGGCCUCAUGCCAAACAACUCAUUACAAAAGGAGCUAUGGUCCCAGACCACAACGAAGCUUCAUGAGACCUCUCCUCAUCUGUGCACGGACAAGUGUCUGACUCUGGAGCCCAGGCUGUUGCUUUCCAGUCUGGUGGUGAAUCCUUCACAGUCUGAAAAUCUAGGUAUCUUGCACCAAGAAGUGGAAAAUAAAGAAGAGAAAUGAGAACCAUGUUUGUAUUGGCUGUCUAUAAAAUAAGAGUUCUAGGUACAUGAAAUCCACUGGUGUGCUGGUAAAUGUUUAAUAACCAGUCCUCUGGAAAGGAGAAAGUUGAAGACCCCAUUUAUACAUUUGCUCAUUUCUGUGGUGUAAAUACCCUGAAAAUAGCUGAUUUCGAGCUAUCAACAUUACUGAAGAUGGAGCUGGGAAGAGGGAGAAGUUAAGUGAAGUUUUCCAACCCACAGCUGUUUUGGCUGAGGCUCCAAAGACUGAGAAUAAAUCAGUAUCUGCCCAGUCACCACGGUGUGCCAAAGGAGGUGCUGGAUUGCCUCGUCAGGACAUGCUACAUGGAUGGAGAGAAGAUUCCUUGGGGAGAUUUGGUGUGUGCAUAACCAGUCCUUCCAGCACUGGAGAAAGGAGGAGUCCUGCACAGGUUGUACACGAUUCUUUCCACCUGGAAACUUGAAACAUGUGCCCUGGAGUUGAGGAUGCUUGGUUUAAUGAUACUGACCUGCAAUUGAGAAGACCAAAAGGGCGAGACAUACCUUCACGCAAGGCGAGGAUGCAUGAGUUUUCCUGUGAAGCAGGAAAGAGUUUAACAAUUCACGGUUGCACAGUAGCGCUAGCGGCUUUGCGGUUUGGUCCUCAGACCCGGCAGCCGCCACUGGUGAUGAGCUGCUAGGAAGCCCCUGUCGGCAAGCUCGUUGGAGCUUGAAUCCACUGUCACCCCUCUGACUCACUGGC
Molecule: long non-coding RNA, 1284 nt
Filed under: Homo sapiens (human)
Lineage: Eukaryota; Metazoa; Chordata; Mammalia; Primates; Hominidae
Description: PREDICTED lncRNA (TCONS_00207842)
Source: RNAcentral